This 442-nucleotide ribosomal RNA is filed under the name uncultured bacterium. RNAcentral describes it as "partial 16S ribosomal RNA". It matches the Rfam family "Bacterial small subunit ribosomal RNA", at positions 338 to 795 of the family's 1533-position model. The record is from RNAcentral.
CCUACGGGUGGCAGCAGUAGGGAAUCUUUCACAAUGGGCGAAAGCCUGAUGGAGCAACGCCGCGUGCAGGAUGAAGGCCUUCGGGUUGUAAACUGCUUUUAUAAGCGAGAAAGAUGAUGGUAACUUAUGAAUAAGGAUCGGCUAACUACGUGCCAGCAGCCGCGGUCAUACGUAGGAUCCGAGCAUAAUCCGGAGUGACUGGGUGUAAAGAGUUGCGUAGGUGGCAUAAUAAGUAGCUAGUGAAAUCUGGUGGCUCAACCAUUCAGACUAUUAGCUAAACUGUUAAGCUCGAGACCGUUAGUGGUAACUGGAAUUUCUAGUGUAGGAGUGAAAUCCGUAGAUAUUAGAAGGAACACCAAUAGCGUAGGCAGGUUGCUGGGACGGUUCUGACACUAAGGCACGAAAGCGUAGGGAGCAAACGGGAUUAGAUACCCGUGUAGUC